Molecule: long non-coding RNA, 512 nt
Filed under: Zosterops lateralis melanops
Lineage: Eukaryota; Metazoa; Chordata; Aves; Passeriformes; Zosteropidae
Description: lncRNA (ENSZLMG00000000129.1)
Source: RNAcentral
GGGACAUUUAGUAAGAUCAAAGAAACCCUCCUUGAAACUACUGGAGCUUACACCACUGCCAGACAACCCUUGAUACUCUGCAGUAAGUAUCAUUUCUGGUUUAGGAGUGCUACAGUAAAGUGAAUUGCUGUGGAACGUAAAAGUUUUCUCAUCAGGACAGACUUCUGAAUUUUAAACGGACUGCAUGUUGAUUGAUGAGAACUGAAUCAAAGGAAAAAGAUAAAGCUUUGGAAACCUGGUUUCCUCAUUUUUCACAGAAAAUUUAAAGGAAUUACUUGAAGCAAAAGUCAGACUUCCUGCUCCAAACCUUUUUAUUAGGUUUUCAUGGAAAAGGACUAGAGGAAUCUGACUGAUCGUACAUACCGGAGUAUUGUACACAAACACAAAGCACCUUCAAAAUGGACUACUUUUUGGAUGUUGAAUCUGCUCACAGACUGUUUUACAGUCAAGGAGCCCAAGCUCGUCGGGCAACUCUUCUCACUGUGCCCACUCUGGUGACAGCAACUUCUGAG